GGUUUCCACCGGCCCGAAAGACUCGGGCCCCGCGGGCAGUGCCGCGGGAGGGGUCCCUGGACCGGGGCGCGCUCUUUUGUACGUUCUGGGCUCAGCCUGAGACCCGGUUCUAGCACCACGGCCCAGCCCCUGAGGUCGGAGGACUAGAACUGUGCUGGCCGCUAACGUGUCCCUCCUGGUUUCGUUCAGCGGCCGCACACGGCCCAUCCUCUCCGCGAACGCCCGCCUCCGACCCGCUUCCUGAAGUUUCUCCGCGCCGCGGCCAGGAAUCAGCAUCCUUCGCCUCUUCUCCGCAUCCCGUGCUUCCAUCGCUCCGGUUCUUCCCUUCCCCGCGAACCCCGACCCGCAGCCCCUUUGGGCGAGCCGUGCGCGCGUCCCCGGGCUCAGGUCCCGCCGGUGUCCGCGUCCCCAGCUGGGAGCGCCGAGCGGGGUGAGCGGAAGGGUGGCGGUGCGCGGGCGGCGGUGCGCGCGCCGCGGACGGGAUGAAGGAUCCCAGUGACCCGAGACCCUCUUCCGGAGCCGCCAAGACCCGAGCGCCUUCGUUCAGCGGUCGGCGAUCGUUUGGAAGGACAGUGUGAGCGAGCACUCUGCCCUCCGCGUUCACGGCCGCGCGGCCAGGCGCCCCGACCUGCACACACGUGCGCGCGCACAGUCGCGCUGCCCGGGGAGGUCAGCGCGCCGCGGGAGCGGCUCUAGGCAAGUGGAAACAGAUGAAAGGUGUCCGUUUUCUUUUCUUUUCUUUUCAAUGUUUCUGCGAGACAGCCUUUGGAAGAACUUAGGUCAUACAUACCCAUCCCUCACCGCCCCCCUCCCCCGACGCCCAGGCCGUCCUCAGCCUCUCCAUUACUCGCUUUGCUUUCCCCGUUUUCCACUCCGGAGCGCAGCUCGGCACGUGCACGCGGGUGUGAGCGCGCCCAGAGGCUGCAGAGACCCGGAGCGUCGCUCGGAUCCGGCCAGAGCGGGUAGGAUCCUCGCUGGCAAGAAAACCAGCGGAGGAGAAGGAACUGUGUUUCGCCCAUUACUUUUAUUAGACGAGAGAGGCUAUAGAGGGCGUUUGUCCCGGGUCCCGUUUCAUAGCCGCCUGCUGACUUCAUCAAAAGGGCUCGUCCAGACCGCGAUUCCGCCGCGCGUGGUCAGGCGCACACUGACGCAGCUGGGUGGGAGAGCCGCGGAACAUAAAGAUACAGUCUUAGAUUUGCGGUGUUGACCUCUGAACGGACGGCCCCCGGUGUGUCUGUCACUGGGCAUCAUCCAGAACGUGGUAGAGAGAGAGGCUUCCUGGGCAGGACGCUGCCCGUGGGACCUCAGGCUCCUCACCUGGGCCCAUCAGGUGAGCGGCUCACCUGUGGCUAUUGGCUCUUCUCGGGGGCUGGCCGCUCUCGUCUCUGGGGAGGGGCGCUUUUGCCCUGGAGAAGUCUGAAUCUUUUCACCACCCACAGUAAAGGUGCCUUAGAAAAUUCAAGUCAAGAUUAGACAGAGGGGGGCUGCACCUGGAGAGGGGGUGGCUUCCUGGGGAGCCCUGUGUGUCCAAAGGCUUCCCUGGGCCCACGAGGUUGAAGGCCCUGGGGACUGACUGCCGCCCGAACCUGGCCCUCUCUGCCCAGGCUCCUGGCCUGCUGGCCCUCCUGCCUGUGGCCACACAUCCCUCCACAUCAGUCCCUGCCACUUGCAAAGGUCCUGACCACGGGGCUCCAUCACCCCCUGCCGUGGGGCUCUGUGGAGCACUAGACACGUAUUGACUGACUGACUGACUGAGUCGGUGAAUGGCUUGCUCUUGGUCACUCACUUUUUCUUCUCAAAGGUACCCAGGAUACUGAGGGACAGAAACAGAAAAACCACGGUUGCGUACGUUUCCUGCCGGCUUCCCUGCUAAGCAUCUUCUGUGCACCUGAGUGUCUUGAUCUCGAGUGAUCCAGGCAAACCUGAUCACACCUCGGGAGCCCUGGCUCUCCUGUAUGAAGCGCGGUGCAUUGCCACGUUGAAUUUUAAGCCCCUAUAGCUAUGCACACUGAAAAUAGCAUUUCAUUUUAAAAUAAAUUCCUGAGUUAGCAGUCAGUCCCAAACCUUCCAUUCCUUGAGAACAGCGUGCAUUUUGUUGUUGUUUUUGCAUCCGCAUGACGUGUGCCAUUCCCAGCACAGAGAUGUUCAUGAAAAAGAAAGUGAACAAAAGCAAACCAUACUGAUGAUACUGUUAAUGAAAAAUUCAGAGUGGGACCGACCGUUUAAAGCUGAUUAGAUCCUAGCAAGGGUUUUUUUAGAAACAGACAAGUUUCUUCUGAAAUUUAUUUUUAGUGGCAGGAAUCUUAGGAUGGCUAAAACAAUUCUGACAAAGAAGAAUUAAGUGGGAAGAAUCAGUCUACCCAAUUCCAAGACAUUACAUCAUUGGAACAAAAGAGAAAAUCCCAGAAACAAACAUGUAUAAAUAUUCCUGACUUAUUUUGACAGGAUGCAAAGCAAUUCAAUGGAGGAAAGCUAGUCUUUUCAACAAGCGGUGCUGGAUCAAUCGAACGUCUCUAAGCCUGUGGGACUUCUCAGGUAUCUCAGUGGUAAGGAACCUACCUGUCAAUGAAGGAAAUGCAAGAGCUGGGGGUUCGAUCCCUGGGUCAGGAAGAUCCCCUGGAGUAGGAAUCGGUGAUCCACUCCAGUACUCUCGCCUGGGAAAUCCCAGGGACAGAGGAGCCUGGUGGGCUACAGUCCGUGGGGCCACAAAGAUUCGGACACAACUGAGCACAAAGCAAGUAUGCGCAUACAAACACACACAAACUCCAACCCAACUCCCGUACCUUACGCAGAAAUUAACUAGACGUGACCACAGACUUACACGUCAAAUUAUGAAACUUUUAGAACAGAGGAUAAAAAUCUCAAGAUCUAUGACGAGGCAAAGAAUCUGUAGACUAGACACCAAAAGCAGAAUCCAUGAAUUAAUAUUUUCUUCUCAAAGGUACCCAGGAUACUGAGGACAGAAACAGAAAAACCACGGUUGCGUCGUUUCCUGCCGGCUUCCCUGCUAAGCAUCUUCUGUGCACCUGAGUGUCUUGAUCUCGAGUGAUCCAGGCAAACCUGAUCACACCUCGGGAGCCCUGGCUCUCCUGUAUGAAGCGGUGCAUUGCCACGUUGAAUUUUAAGCCCCUAUAGCUAUGCACACUGAAAAUAGCAUUUCAUUUUUAAAAUAAAUUCCUGAGUUAGCAGUCAGUCCCAAACCUUCCAUUCCUUGAGAACAGCGAGCGUGCAUUUUGUUGUUGUUUUUUGCAUCCCGCAUGACGUGUGCCAUUCCCAGCACAGAGAUGUUCAUGAAAAAGAAAGUGAACAAAAGCAAACCAUACUGAUGAUACUGUUAAUGAAAAAUUCAGAGUGGGACCGACCGUUUAAAGCUGAUUAGAUCCUAGCAAGGGUUUUUUUAGAAACAGACAAGUUUCUUCUGAAAUUUAUUUUUAGUGGCAGGAAUCUUAGGAUGGCUAAAACAAUUCUGACAAAGAAGAAUUAAGUGGGAAGAAUCAGUCUACCCAAUUCCAAGACAUUACAUCAUUGGAACAAAAGAGAAAAUCCCAGAAACAAACAUGUAUAAAUAUUCCUGACUUAUUUUGACAGGAUGCAAAGCAAUUCAAUGGAGGAAAGCUAGUCUUUUCAACAAACGGUGCUGGAUCAAUCGAACGUCUCUAAGCCUGUGGGACUUCUCAGGUAUCUCAGUGGUAAGGAACCUACCUGUCAAUGAAGGAAAUGCAAGAGCUGGGGGUUCGAUCCCUGGGUCAGGAAGAUCCCUGGAGUAGGAAUCGGUGAUCCACUCCAGUACUCUCGCCUGGAAAUCCCAGGGACAGAGGAGCCUGGUGGGCUACAGUCCGUGGGGC
Long non-coding RNA from Bos grunniens (domestic yak), 3845 nucleotides. NCBI's taxonomy places the organism in Eukaryota, Metazoa, Chordata, Mammalia, Artiodactyla, Bovidae. The record is from Ensembl.